GACGAACGCUGGCGGCGUGCUUAACACAUGCAAGUCGAACGGAGUUUAAUGGAGAGCUUGCUCGAAAUUAAACUUAGUGGCGGACGGGUGAGUAACGCGUGGGCAAUCUGCCUGUAAGAGGGGGACAACACCGAGAAAUUGGUGCUAAUACCGCAUAACAUCAAUUAACUGCAUGGUUGAUUGAUCAAAGGAGUAAUCCGCUUACAGAUGAGCCCGCGUCUGAUUAGCUAGUUGGUGGGGUAACGGCCUACCAAGGCGACGAUCAGUAGCCGGCCUGAGAGGGUGACCGGCCACACUGGAACUGAGACACGGUCCAGACUCCUACGGGAGGCAGCAGUGGGGAAUCUUCCGCAAUGGGCGAAAGCCUGACGGAGCAACGCCGCGUGAGUGAUGAAGGCCUUCGGGUUGUAAAACUCUGUCUUCAGGGAAGAAACAAAUGACGGUACCUGAGGAGGAAGCCACGGCUAACUACGUGCCAGCAGCCGCGGUAAUACGUAGGUGGCAAGCGUUGUCCGGAAUUACUGGGCGUAAAGCGCGCGCAGGCGGGAAUUUAAGUCAGGAGUGAAAACUGAGGGCUCAACCCUCAGCCUGCUUCUGAAACUGGAUUUCUUGAGGGUAUGAGAGGAAAGCGGAAUUCCUAGUGUAGCGGUGAAAUGCGUAGAUAUUAGGAGGAACACCAGUGGCGAAGGCGGCUUUCUGGCAUACAACUGACGCUGAGGCGCGAAAGCGUGGGGAGCAAACGGGAUUAGAUACCCCGGUAGUCCACGCCGUAAACGAUGAGCACUAGGUGUAGGAGGUAUCGACCCCUUC
This 810-nucleotide ribosomal RNA is filed under the name uncultured Peptococcaceae bacterium. RNAcentral describes it as "bacterial SSU rRNA". It matches the Rfam family "Bacterial small subunit ribosomal RNA", at positions 28 to 841 of the family's 1533-position model. Lineage: Bacteria; Bacillati; Bacillota; Clostridia; Eubacteriales; Peptococcaceae. The record is from RNAcentral.